RNAcentral lists this long non-coding RNA (251 nucleotides) under Ananas comosus (pineapple). RNAcentral's name for it is "long non-coding RNA (ACOM_LNC008857)". Lineage: Eukaryota; Viridiplantae; Streptophyta; Magnoliopsida; Poales; Bromeliaceae. The record is from RNAcentral.
CCUCGGCACAAACUGAUGCAAAACCAGCAAUCUGGGUCCACCGUCAACCCCGACGGCACCCAACAGUCUGAAACAGCCUAGACACUGCUGUAAAAAUAAGCUCUGCAUCUCCGCACGAGCGUAACUGCAUUCUACACUAUUCCGAAUAUGCACUACCAACAAACUGCGGUGAUACAGAUCUACUACAGCUCCUAAACUUUCAGCAUAUCAAAUGCACACAACAGUGUGGAUACUAUCCGCGACAACUCCCG